RNAcentral lists this ribosomal RNA (253 nucleotides) under uncultured bacterium. RNAcentral describes it as "partial 16S ribosomal RNA". It matches the Rfam family "Bacterial small subunit ribosomal RNA", at positions 524 to 776 of the family's 1533-position model. The record is from RNAcentral.
UACGUAGGGGGCAAGCGUUGUCCGGAUUUAUUGGGCGUAAAGAGCGUGUAGGCGGUCCGACAGGUCCGUUGUGAAAACUCGAGGCUCAACCUCGAGACGUCGAUGGAAACCGUCGGGCUAGAGUCCGGAAGAGGAGAGUGGAAUUCCUGGUGUAGCGGUGAAAUGCGCAGAUAUCAGGAGGAACACCGGUGGCGAAGGCAGGUCUCUGGGCCAUAACUGACGCUGAGAAGCGAAAGCAUGGGGAGCGAACAGG